GAAAGGCCGCGCCCCUCCGCCUCCCGGGGCGUCUCAGGACCGAGUCCCGACCGGCCGCGCGCCUGGAGGUGUCGGAGCUCCGAGGAUUUUCAGGUGCUGACUCGUUCUGAAGGACGGCGAGGCGCCUCUCCUCACGAGGGGCCCGAGCGCGCCAGCCUGGACUGCCCCGAGUCGGCGCCGCCGGCUGCGGAGAGGGCGACCACGUGGCCGGAGCGGGCCUCCGAGGGUUGAUUCCUGUAUGUGCCCUGACCGAUGAUUGAACCCG
Miniopterus natalensis is the source of this 265-nucleotide non-coding RNA. Lineage: Eukaryota; Metazoa; Chordata; Mammalia; Chiroptera; Miniopteridae. The record is from RefSeq and is a predicted model, not a curated record.